CUAAGAAUAUUCCGCAAUGGACGGAAGUCUGACGGAGCGACGCCGCGUGGAUGAUGAAGGCCGAAAGGUUGUAAAGUUCUUUUGCUGGGGAAGAAUAAGCCUAGGAGGGAAUGCCUAGGUGAUGACAUGAACCGGCGAAUAAGCCCCGGCCAACUACGUGCCAGCAGCCGCGGUAACACGUAGGGGGCGAGCGUUGUUCGGAAUUACUGGGCGUAAAGGGCAUGUAGGCGGUCUGGUAAGCCUGGCGUGAAAGACUGCAGCUUAACUGCAGGGAUGCGCUGGGAACUGCUGGGCUUGAGUGACGGAGAGGGAGCUGGAAUUCCUGGUGUAGGGGUGAAAUCUGUAGAUAUCAGGAAGAACACCGAUGGCGAAGGCAAGCUCCUGGCCGAUGACUGACGCUGAGGUGCGAAAGUGUGGGGAUCAAACAG
This 428-nucleotide ribosomal RNA is filed under the name uncultured bacterium. Its description in RNAcentral is "bacterial SSU rRNA". It matches the Rfam family "Bacterial small subunit ribosomal RNA", at positions 355 to 775 of the family's 1533-position model. The record is from RNAcentral.